Molecule: ribosomal RNA, 295 nt
Filed under: Burkholderia sp. RG5
Lineage: Bacteria; Pseudomonadati; Pseudomonadota; Betaproteobacteria; Burkholderiales; Burkholderiaceae
Description: partial 16S ribosomal RNA
Rfam family: Bacterial small subunit ribosomal RNA
Source: RNAcentral
GGUGGGAGUGCUCGAAAGAGAACCGGCGCACGGGUGCUGCGUGGGUGUCCUCAUCGCGUGGCGAGAGAUGGGGGGAAAAGCCCCACCACGAGCGCCCCUUUUGUUCUUUUUCGCUACGCAAGAGCACUCAACUCAAAACUGCCUGUGACUGAUAAAAUGAAGGAAGGGAUGACUUCCAGUCCUUCUUCCCCUUACUUAUAGGGCUUCACACGUCAUACAAUGGUCGGAACAUACGGUUGCAAACCCCCUCGGGGGAGCUAAUCCCCCACAACCGAUCGGACUCAGGAUUGAACUC